AUCUGAAUUGAUUUUCUCAAUUUGUCUUAUGUCACACUUAAAUACCAAGUAAAAUUAAUCUAAUGUGGUCUCUUUUUGUUUCUGGAACUUAGCACUCUCUUCUUAGUUACUAAUCUUGUACACAUCUGAACUCUAUUUAAGCUCAUCUUAACAGAGCAGUCUAAAAUCCAAUCAAAUGAGGAGAGUUGUGGCAGAUCACAUUUCUAUGAAAUGAAUUUUUAUGUAUAUAUG
Molecule: long non-coding RNA, 231 nt
Organism: Ipomoea nil (Japanese morning glory)
Lineage: Eukaryota; Viridiplantae; Streptophyta; Magnoliopsida; Solanales; Convolvulaceae
Exons: 3
Source: RefSeq, a predicted model, not a curated record